CCUACGGGAGGCAGCAGUGGGGAAUAUUGGACAAUGGGCGAAAGCCUGAUCCAGCCAUGCCGCGUGUGUGAAGAAGGUCUUCGGAUUGUAAAGCACUUUAAGUUGGGAGGAAGGGCAGUUACCUAAUACGUGACUGUCUUGACGUUACCGACAGAAUAAGCACCGGCUAACUCUGUGCCAGCAGCCGCGGUAAUACAGAGGGUGCAAGCGUUAAUCGGAAUUACUGGGCGUAAAGCGCGCGUAGGUGGUUUGUUAAGUUGAAUGUGAAAUCCCCGGGGCUCAACCUGGGAACUGCAUCCAAAACUGGCAAGCUAGAGUAUGGUAGAGGGUAGUGGAAUUUCCUGUGUAGCGGUGAAAUGCGUAGAUAUAGGAAGGAACACCAGUGGCGAAGGCGACUACCUGGACUGAUACUGACACUGAGGUGCGAAAGCGUGGGGAGCAAACAGGAUUAGAUACCCCUGGUAGUCCACGCCGUAACGAUNUCACUAGCGUGGUAGUNUNACUCUAGUGNGNNCACGCAUAGUUAGACCGCCGUGGGNGGUAACGGUCCGCGAGUUAAACGUACGAAUUAGAGUUGCGGCGNGAGACGNGCGACGGACGACGACGAGGGAGGAGG
This 616-nucleotide ribosomal RNA is filed under the name uncultured bacterium. RNAcentral describes it as "bacterial SSU rRNA". The stretch from base 1 to 533 matches the Rfam family "Bacterial small subunit ribosomal RNA", at positions 338 to 873 of the family's 1533-position model. The record is from RNAcentral.